CCUACGGGUGGCAGCAGUCGGGACUAUUGCGCAAUGGAGGAAACUCUGACGCAGUGACGCCGCGUAUAGGAAGAAGGUUUUCGGAUUGUACACUAUUGUCGGUAGGGAAGAAAAAAAGACAGUACCUAAGGAGGAAGCACAGGCUAACUACGUGCCAGCAGCCGCGGUAAUACGUAGGGAGCGAGCGUUAUCCGGAUUUAUUGGGUGUCAAGGGUGCGUAGACGGGUAUACAAGUUGGUUGUGAAAUGUCCGGGCUCAACCCGGGCCUUGCAGCGCGAAAUGGCGUGCUUGAGUCCGCGGAAAGCAGGCGGAAUUCGUCGUGUAGCGGUGAAAUGCUUAGAUAUGACGAAGAACCCCGAUUGCGAAGGCAGCUUGCUGCAGCGGAACUGACGCUGAUGCUCGAAAGCGCGGGUAUCGAACAGGAUUAGAUACCCCUGUAGUC
This 442-nucleotide ribosomal RNA is filed under the name uncultured bacterium. RNAcentral's name for it is "partial 16S ribosomal RNA". It matches the Rfam family "Bacterial small subunit ribosomal RNA", at positions 338 to 795 of the family's 1533-position model. The record is from RNAcentral.